RNAcentral lists this ribosomal RNA (460 nucleotides) under uncultured bacterium. RNAcentral describes it as "partial 16S ribosomal RNA". It matches the Rfam family "Bacterial small subunit ribosomal RNA", at positions 338 to 795 of the family's 1533-position model. The record is from RNAcentral.
CCUACGGGAGGCAGCAGUGAGGAAUAUUGGUCAAUGGACGCAAGUCUGAACCAGCCAUGCCGCGUGCAGGAAGACGGCUCUAUGAGUUGUAAACUGCUUUUGUACGAGGGUAAACGAAGAUACGCGUAUCUGUCUGAAAGUCUCGUACGAAUAAGGAUCGGCUAACUCCGUGCCAGCAGCCGCGGUAAUACGGAGGAUUCAAGCGUUAUCCGGAUUUAUUGGGUUUAAAGGGUGCGUAGGCGGUCGGUUAAGUUAGAGGUGAAAUUCCGAGGCUCAACUUCGGAAUUGCCUCUGAUACUGUUCGGCUAGAGAGAAGUAGCGGUAGGCGGAAUGUAUGGUGUAGCGGUGAAAUGCUUAGAGAUCAUACGGAACACCGGUUGCGAAGGCGGCUUACCAAGCAACUUCUGACGUUGAGGCACGAAAGCGUGGGGAGCAAACAGGAUUAGAUACCCGUGUAGUC